This 610-nucleotide ribosomal RNA is filed under the name uncultured bacterium. Its description in RNAcentral is "bacterial SSU rRNA". It matches the Rfam family "Bacterial small subunit ribosomal RNA", at positions 9 to 617 of the family's 1533-position model. The record is from RNAcentral.
GAGUUUGAUCCUGGCUCAGGACGAACGCUGGCGGCGUGCUUAACACAUGCAAGUCGAACGGAGUGCUCCGGAAAGAGAUUUCGGUCAAUGGAUGGAGUUACUUAGUGGCGGACGGGUGAGUAACGCGUGAGGAACCUGCCUUUCAGAGGGGGACAACAGUUGGAAACGACUGCUAAUACCGCAUAACGCAUGGGUAUCGCAUGGUAUCUGUGCCAAAGAUUUAUCGCUGAGAGAUGGCCUCGCGUCUGAUUAGCUAGUUGGUGAGGUAACGGCCCACCAAGGCGACGAUCAGUAGCCGGACUGAGAGGUUGGCCGGCCACAUUGGGACUGAGAUACGGCCCAGACUCCUACGGGAGGCAGCAGUGGGGAAUAUUGGGCAAUGGGCGCAAGCCUGACCCAGCAACGCCGCGUGAAGGAAGAAGGCUUUCGGGUUGUAAACUUCUUUUAAGAGGGAAGAGCAGAAGACGGUACCUCUUGAAUAAGCCACAGCUAACUACGUGCCAGCAGCCGCGGUAAUACGUAGGUGGCAAGCGUUGUCCGGAUUUACUGGGUGUAAAGGGCGUGUAGCCGGGCUGACAAGUCAGAUGUGAAAUUCCGGGGCUCAACCCCC